RNAcentral lists this ribosomal RNA (876 nucleotides) under Agaricus cacainus. Its description in RNAcentral is "partial large subunit ribosomal RNA". It matches the Rfam family "Eukaryotic large subunit ribosomal RNA", at positions 72 to 938 of the family's 3401-position model. The record is from RNAcentral. Lineage: Eukaryota; Fungi; Basidiomycota; Agaricomycetes; Agaricales; Agaricaceae.
GGAUUCCCCUAGUACUGCGAGUGAAGCGGGAAAAGCUCAAAUUUAAAAUCUGGCGGUCUCUGGCCGUCCGAGUUGUAAUCUAGAGAAGUAAUGCCCGUGCUGGACCGUGUAUAAGUCUCCUGGGAUGGGGCGUCAUAGAGGGUGAGAAUCCCGUCUUUGACACGGACUACCAGUGCAUUGUGGUAUGCUCUCAAAGAGUCGAGUUGUUUGGGAAUGCAGCUCAAAAUGGGUGGUAAAUUCCAUCUAAAGCUAAAUAUUGGCGAGAGACCGAUAGCGAACAAGUACCGUGAGGGAAAGAUGAAAAGAACUUUGGAAAGAGAGUUAAACAGUACGUGAAAUUGCUGAAAGGGAAACGCUUGAAGUCAGUCGCGUUGGCCGGGGAUCAGCCUUGCUUUUGCAUGGUGUACUUUCUGGUUGACGGGUCAGCAUCAAUUUUGACCGCUGGAAAAGGCUCAAGGGAAUGUGGCAGCUUCGGCUGUGUUAUAGCCCUUGUUCACAUACAGUGGUUGGGAUUGAGGAACUCAGCACGCCGCAAGGCCGGGUUUCGACCACGUUCGUGCUUAGGAUGCUGGCAUAAUGGCUUUAAGCGACCCGUCUUGAAACACGGACCAAGGAGUCUAACAUGCCUGCGAGUAUUUGAGUGGAAAACCCAAGUGCGCAAUGAAAGUGAAAGUUGAGAUCCCUGUCGUGGGGAGCAUCGACGCCCGGACCAGAACUUUUGGGACGGAUCCGCGGUGGAGCAUGUAUGUUGGGACCCGAAAGAUGGUGAACUAUGCCUGAAUAGGGUGAAGCCAGAGGAAACUCUGGUGGAGGCUCGUAGCGAUUCUGACGUGCAAAUCGAUCGUCAAAUUUGGGUAUAGGGGCGAAGACUAUCGA